AGCAGCCGCGGUAAUUCCAGCUCCAAUAGCGUAUAUUAAAGUUGUUGCAGUUAAAAGCUCGUAGUUGAAUUUCGGGGUCAGCAAGUUGGUCGUGCCACUGGUAUGCACUGGCUUUGCUGAUUCCUCCUUCUUGAAGAACUGUAAUGCUAUUAAUUUAGUGUUGCAGGGAAACAGGACUGUUACUUUGAAAAAUUGAGUGUUUAAAGCAGGCUAACGCUUGAAUACAUUAGCAUGGAAUAAUGAAAUAGGACGUUUGAUCCUAUUUUGUUGGUUUCUAGGAUUGACGUAAUGAUUAAUAGGGAUAGUUGGGGGCAUUAGUAUUCAAUUGUCAGAGGUGAAAUUCUUGGAUUUAUUGAAGACUAACUACUGCGAAAGCAUUUGCCAAGGAUGUUUUCAUUAAUCAAGAACGAAAGUUAGGGGAUCGAAGACGAUCAGAUACCGUCGUAGUCUUAACCAUAAACUAUGCCGACUAGGGAUCGGAUGAUGUUAAUUUUUAUGUACUCAUUCC
This 508-nucleotide unclassified non-coding RNA is filed under the name uncultured Glomus. RNAcentral's name for it is "SSU rRNA". It matches the Rfam family "Eukaryotic small subunit ribosomal RNA", at positions 569 to 1082 of the family's 1831-position model. The record is from RNAcentral. Lineage: Eukaryota; Fungi; Glomeromycota; Glomeromycetes; Glomerales; Glomeraceae.